RNAcentral lists this long non-coding RNA (374 nucleotides) under Ananas comosus (pineapple). Its description in RNAcentral is "long non-coding RNA (ACOM_LNC008124)". Lineage: Eukaryota; Viridiplantae; Streptophyta; Magnoliopsida; Poales; Bromeliaceae. The record is from RNAcentral.
AUGUAUUAUAAUAUAUAAUAUAUUAUAUUUAUAUAAUUUAGUUUUAAUUUAUUUUAUAAUUUUAAUUAAGUUUGAAAUUAAGCAUGGGAAUAACACUAUUCCACCAAAAUGGUGGAAUAGUAAAAAGCUUGCUAUUCCGGAAUAACCGGGAAUAGCAAGCUUUGACCGGAAUAAAAUAUUCCAGUAAAAAUUGAUCUCGUUUGGCGGAAUAGCGGGGAUAACUUUCGUUAUCCCCGCUUAUCCGUUAUCCCCGCUUAUCCCCCGAACCAAACGGGGCCUUAGAAGUUAUAUAAAUCUCAAGAGCAACACUAUUUAUUCAUCUAAAAGUGAGUAUAAAUUUCACAUCCUGCUUUAUAAAAAGUACUUUUUUUUUU